AUAACACUGUGAAUGAACAAAAACUGUCACGUGACCCCAAAAGUCAACGUCAGUAGGCGUUUUACGAAGGAAAACAGCCGCACCAGAUAUGUCACAUGUGUGUCGUUUUUGUGGAGAUGCCCUCAAAACCAAGUGGGGGUUAAAGCUGCACGAGGACAGGCAUCUCGGCGUGUCAAAAUAUUCAUGCUGUGAUAAGCAAUUUAGUAGAAAAGAGGACCUCACCAGACACAUGUGCGGUGUGCAUGGGGAAACGAAAGAACAUGUGUGUCCAACCUGCUCUGCAGAAUUUGCAACGAAAACUC
Dreissena polymorpha is the source of this 302-nucleotide long non-coding RNA. RefSeq lists it as uncharacterized. Lineage: Eukaryota; Metazoa; Mollusca; Bivalvia; Myida; Dreissenidae. The transcript is spliced from 3 exons. The record is from RefSeq and is a predicted model, not a curated record.